UGCGUAGGCGGCCUGUUAAGUAGGGUGUGAAAUGCCAGAGCUCAACUUUGGCAUUGCGCUCUAGACUGGCUGGCUUGAGUGAGAUAGGGGUGUGCGGAACUUCCAGUGGAGCGGUGAAAUGUGUUGAUAUUGGAAGGAACGCCGGUGGCGAAAGCGGCACACUGGGUCUUAACUGACGCUGAUGACGAAAGCCCAAGGGGGACGCGGAACG
This 211-nucleotide ribosomal RNA is filed under the name uncultured bacterium. RNAcentral's name for it is "partial 16S ribosomal RNA". The stretch from base 3 to 184 matches the Rfam family "Bacterial small subunit ribosomal RNA", at positions 570 to 751 of the family's 1533-position model. The record is from RNAcentral.